RNAcentral lists this ribosomal RNA (182 nucleotides) under uncultured bacterium. RNAcentral describes it as "partial 16S ribosomal RNA". It matches the Rfam family "Bacterial small subunit ribosomal RNA", at positions 1319 to 1500 of the family's 1533-position model. The record is from RNAcentral.
CACGAAGCUGGAAUCGCUAGUAAUCGCGAAUCAGAAUGUCGCGGUGAAUACGUUCCCGGGUCUUGUACACACCGCCCGUCACACCAUGGGAGUCGGGAAUGCCCGAAGUCAGUGACCCAACCAUAUGGAGGGAGCUGCCGAAGGCAGGUCUGAUAACUGGGGUGAAGUCGUAACAAGGUACC